GAAAUAAGGCAUCCUUAAGGCUUUAUUUUAAUUCAGAAAUCUUUCAAAAUAUCGGAAUUGCCCUUGGAACAGAAGUUACCAGCUUCGUCGAGAAGCCAAUGUAACUCCAGUGGCCAGAAGGGACUUCUCGAGCAGGAUUAGACCCGUCGUGGGCACCAGGCUCCAAAGGGCAGUGAGCUGUGCCUGUCCAUGAACUCGAGCCCUGGCGUCGCUCUGCUGCCCUGUGCCGGCAGCCGUGACGCGUGUGCAGCAGCAGGGACGGCACCUGCACCCCUUCCCGUGUGUCACCCAUGAAAUGAGUUUGCAGGAGCUUUCUUGCCUAGCCGGCGUCAGCUCCAGCUGUGGCUCACGGUGGAGAUGAGCAGCUUGUAUGGAUGUUUGCAGAGGAUUCCUCUGGUGGAUGCUGUCAAGCAUCAGCGAGUGACAGUUACCCUCGGGAUGGAGGAAGUGGUCCCGUUCCUCUGGAAUGGAAUGGUUUAGCCACUUCGCCCCCUGCCUUGGGGCAGUGGGGAUGGCUGAAGGGCCCUCGCAGUCCCCUCGCACCUCUUUCCUAUGUUCAGCCUCAGGUGGACAAGGAACACAAACUUCUCCAGGCUUUAAACUGAGUCCAACUGAGAAUAUUUGC
RNAcentral lists this long non-coding RNA (625 nucleotides) under Apteryx owenii (little spotted kiwi). Its description in RNAcentral is "lncRNA (ENSAOWG00000016466.1)". Lineage: Eukaryota; Metazoa; Chordata; Aves; Apterygiformes; Apterygidae. The record is from RNAcentral.